GAUUGCCAAUUCAUAUCUUUCAGCUGCUCCCUCCCCCCCCAUACAACUCUCUACUGAGUUGUAUGUGAACUUGCAAGGUGGGCUUUGAAGCUGGAAUUAAAAGCUUUUUAUGUGGUUGACUUCACAGUGGCUAUCCAAACUAUCUGUAGAAGUAACAGCUAUUGCAUAGUUAGCUGUUCACCAACUUUAACUGACAAUAAAUUACGUUUCAGGGUGGAGAACAUAGCGCAUUGCCUGACACCUGUGCUGAUCUUGAGGGCAUUCUUGAUUCUCUGCAGAAUGAUGUCGUGGAUAUUAAAAAGCAAGCUGAGGCAGCACACAGUUUCAUUGCAUCCCUAGAGGACCCGCAGGAAGCUAUUGGUCGGCUUGAGAAGCAGCUGGAAAGAACUAGCUUUGAACUAAUGAAGACCAAAGAAGAGCUGACGGAGAAAAACACCAAACUACUGAAAACUGAGGAAGAGCUGAGACAGAAGAACAAAGACUUUGAAAUGCAAGUGAUGAAAUUGGAUGAAUCUGUUGAGCAACUUAAAGAAGCAACCGAGAGAAUGAAUGUGCAAAACGAAAGGAUUCGAGUGCUAACAGACAUCGUGGUGCAGAAAGAUGAUGUUAUUACAAAGCUACAAGACUUAAGAUCUCAUUUAGAAGAAAAAGUAAAAGACUAUGUGAGUUUGACACAUCUCAGUAUCUUAACACCGAAAAAACCCAUCCCUAACCCUAUGCUUGUAAUCAAUUCACUUCUGUGAAACUGUUUUUUUGUAUGUAGCUGGUACUUGUUUGAAACUGUAAACAAUUCAAAUUAAUCUGAAGAUAGUUGUUAAUUCAAGCAACAAAAAUAUCAGUGUGUUCCACCAACUGCUACGUCAAAGGAAGAGCAGCAGUAUGAGUAUAUUGAGCGGAGUUUGAAGUACGAGUGGAUGGCCAGGGUGUCUCUACAUUCUAUGCAGUUGAUAAAACUCUCCUGACUAGCGUACUGCCAGCUGCUGAAUAUGCGAAGACUAGCUUGACUAAGCGUGU
Molecule: long non-coding RNA, 1014 nt
Filed under: Chrysolophus pictus (golden pheasant)
Lineage: Eukaryota; Metazoa; Chordata; Aves; Galliformes; Phasianidae
Description: lncRNA (ENSCPIG00010010610.1)
Source: RNAcentral